Molecule: ribosomal RNA, 406 nt
Filed under: uncultured bacterium
Lineage: Bacteria
Description: partial 16S ribosomal RNA
Rfam family: Bacterial small subunit ribosomal RNA
Source: RNAcentral
AUUGAACGCUGGCGGCAGGCCUAACACAUGCAAGUCGAACGAGUGGCGGACGGGUGAGUAAUGUCUGGGAAACCGCCCGCUGGAGGGGGAUAACCACUGGAAACGGUAGCUAAUACCGCAUACCAUCGGAUGUGCCCAGAUGGGAUUAGCUAGUAGGUGGGGUAACGGCUCACCUAGGCGACGAUCCCUAGCUGGUCUGAGAGGAUGACAAGCCACAGUGGAACUGAGACACGGUCCAGGCUCCUACGGGAGGCAGCGGUGGAGAAUAUUGCACAAUGGGCGCAAGCCUGAUGCAGCCAUGCCGGGUGAAUGAAGAAGGCCUUCGGGUUGUUAAGUACGUUCAGCGAGGAGGCGUUACUCACAGAAGGAGAACCGGCUGACUCCGUGCCAGCAGCCACGGUAAUAC